AACUCAGUGCUGGUUCUGUGGUACUUCAAAUUCUGGUCUUCUUUCCCAAUCUACCUGCUAUCAUUUAUUUUUCACAGUCCUUAAAUAGCUGCUUCAUGAAUUCUUUCCAGUUUUUAUAACUGAAUUCAGUGGGAAAGACAGGACAGAGUAUGCCCGCUCCAUCCUCAUGCUUCUAUUUUGCUUUGCAAGGAUUCCACCCACCUCUGCUCAACAGGUUAUAAACUAAUGAACUAGGAUUUUACCUUUUACUUUAUGUCAUUCAAAGACAAAGUGUACAAAGGCAAAAAUCACUAUGGGAGAAGUUGAUCUAUCCAGGAAAGCAAUAUAUGUUUGCUUUCUUAACUUUUAUAUUACUUUGCUUCCUCCCUUGGAUCAUGGGCAAGAGAAAUCAAAGAUAGAGCCUGGUUGCUACGCACUUCACAUGCUUGCUGGGAAAAAUGCCUACCCGUGCUUCUCGCGCACACACACAAAAAAACGAGCAUGGGACCUUCAUCCCAGGGUUGUGAUUUAGGAAAAUAGGUUGUUGUCCAUACCGAGAGGUCUUUCACAUAGGCCUAGGGAUUUAACUGCAAUUCACAGAAGACCUGUUCAUGAUCUUGCUUUCUCGUAGCUUUUUGUAAAUAUGCAGUGAACUGCCAAGACCAGGAUGUUCUUCCUCAAGGACAUCCAAGGAGAUAAGAUUUAAUUUGCUCUUCUGUUGGCCUGAUUGGGGUGGGUGAAUUCCAGGGAGCGAUGUAUGUUUUCAGUAAACUCAGCAAGCCAUUGUUGAACCGAAUUUCUGCAGAUAUUGUCAGUGGGAACAUAAUUUGGGUCAAUGAAUCAUAAACUCCAUUUUGGUAAUCUGCCCAAGACAACAGCAAGAAUGUAGCAAUCCCAAUGGGGAAAACGGGAAAGACACACUCAUAACUAAAUAGCAUGGCAUCGGGGCAGGAGGGGAAAGAAUGAGCCACUCUGCCGGAUGGAUUGCAGACUUCUUUUCCACCCAUUAGUCACUGAACAGGUAGGGUCGUUUUUUUCUCCUUAAGUGCUGGGAAUAACCAUGAAGCUGUGAACACAAACCUCACAGCCCCAAACAAACAGGAACAUGACACUUGAGCUAGGUCCCCUAAGACACUCAGAUGACAACCUCUGUUCAGUUUAUCAACCCAUACUCGUCCCUUGGAACAAAUCCACAGAUUUUAAAGGCAUGUCACGUGCCGUUCUUGUUUCGGUAGGUUACAGAAAACAGCCAGUUCAUAUCUUGGCUUUACCUGUCCUUCCUUUUGUGUCACAAAACUCACUUUUAAGUGAAGAAACAGUCUGAACAGUAACACUCCAAGUCCAGGAGUGAAGUCUAGGAGCUGCCACUUGAAUGUCCUUCUGUUUAGCUCAUUAGGGUCCUGGAAGAAGAGAAGCAUUUUCCCUGAGGGCUUAUCCAGAACCAAGGUCAGACAGUUCUUCCUUUACCCUCCACCCCCAGCCUCUUGAUCAGUUAGUCCUCAAGAGCUUUGCGCAAGUGAGAACAGCUGUCCUCUGUUUCAGACAAGGACUGACAAGAAAAGGGUAGUAGUUUCCUUGCAGCAGGAGGGAUGUGGAUUUGAUGUGAGAAAGAAUCGCUAGGAGUUCCUGUCGUGGCUCAGCGGUUAACAAACCUGACUAGCAUCCAUGAGGACGCGGGUUCAAUCCCUGGCCUGGCUCAGUGGGUUAAGGAUCUGGCACUGCUGUGAACUGUGGUGUAGGUCACAGAAGCGGUUCGGAUCCUGUGUUGCUGUGGCUGUGGCGUAGGCUGGCAGCUGCAGCUCUGAUUCAACCCCUUGCCUGGGAACCUCCAUAUGCUGCGGGUGUGGCCCUAAAAAGACAAAAAAGCAAAAAGAAAAGAAAGAAUUGCUAGACUGUGUGUGUUGUGGGAUGGAGGAAUGGGUUCCGGGCGGGGGGGGGAACGCGUGGUCUUCUUUGUAAAGAUAUAAAAACAGCUCUUUUCGUGGGGUAGUUGAAGACAGGCCUUCCGGGAGGCCAAACUACCAGCAUCCUGCCUUUAAGCCUAGCAAUUCUUUUCUUUCUUUUUUUUUUUUUUUUGCUUUUCAGGGCCACAGGUGCCACAUAUGGUGGUAGCUCUUGUUAGCUUUCCUGGACUCCCCAAGUUGGGGGAUCCCCCUCUCAGUGGAGAGUCUCUGGCUUCAGCAGCCAAGGGCCCCACUCAGCAUGUCAUUCUGUCCCCAUCCUCCAUCCACCCUUGGGGAAAGACAGGCUUGGUCAAGGGAGCUCAGGCUUUGCACCUGGCACCCAACAAAGUCUUUUUCCCACCAGGUGCCCCAUUUUGGUUAAAUAAAUGAUAUAUUAAACUCACUUGCAGUGAAAUCCACAACCCUAACCCCCACCUACCCCUCUCUUCCUGUUACACACAAAGGCACAAAGUAAAACCCAGCCUACUGCUGCUGCCACCACCACUGCUUCCAGUUGACAUUUGUUUCACACUUAAUAUUUUUUUCCUUUUUUCCUUUCAUGGCCGCACCUGCAGCAUAUGGAAAUUCCCAGGCUAGGGGUCAUCCUGAAGCUGCAGUUGCCGGCCUGCGCCACAGCCAUAGCAAUAUGGGAGCUGAGCCACAUCUGUGAGUUACACCGCAGCUUGUGGCACCUCUGGAUCCUUAACCCAGUGAGUGAGGCCAGGCAUCAAACCUGCAUCCUCAUAGAGACAACAUUAGGUCCUUAACCUGCUGAGCCACAGUGGGAACUCCUGCACUUACCAACAGUGUAAUCUUCAUAAUAGUGUUCUGAGGUGAGGACAUUAUCCUUACUUUCAAGAUGAGGAGGUUGAGGCGGUCUGGUUCCAAACUGUGUGCUCCUGACCAUCAGAUGACACAGCUUUUCCAGUGAAUGGGUAUGUAGUAGAGCGGAAACAAAGUGGCCUUUGAGGCUGGAAGUGUUCUUGGCUUGGACUCAUUGGAUGAGGGAUCUUAAGCAGGUUCCCGAACUUCUCUGAGCCUCCCUUUUUUAUUAUCUACAAAAGAAGUGUACUUCCUACCACCGAUAAAUAAAAGGAAUAUCCAAGGAUCUCAUGUCUCUCUCUCUUGAGUCAGCUACAGAGAUUUAUUCCUAAACAUCCAGUCUCUGCUUCUGGACCCUUCCUUGGCUCUUAGGCAAGAGGGCCGUUUCGCUUUCUUGUCAUUCUUGGCUCCAGGGGAGCCGCCCUUUACCUUUCCUUCAAGAAAUUUGCCUUUGCAUUUACACCUUGCCUUACUUAGGCACAAGAGGCCCAGCUUUCGGCCUGUCUUGGCUUUCAACACGCUUUCCUCGCUAAGCUCAACCAUUUCUAAGUGAUUUCUAAAUCAUUCUAAUUAAAAGUGAGAGACCAGGAAUUCCCGUUGUGGCGCAGUGGUUAACGAAUCCAACUAGGAACCAUGAGGUUGCAGGUUCGAUCCCUGCCCUUGCUUAGUGGGUUAAGGAUCCAGCAUUGCCGUGAGCUAUGGUGUAGGUGUAGGUCGAAGACGCUGGUCGGAUCUUGCGUUGCUGUGGCUGUGGCGUAGGCCGGUGGCUACAGCUCCGAUUGGACCCCUAGCUUGGGAACCUUCAUAUGCCACAGGAGCAGCCCUAGAAAAGGCAAAAAGACAAAACAAACAAACAAACAAAAAACAAAAAGUUAGAGACCUGUAACUCUCCCUUUCACUUAAAUACUUAGAGGCCAUCAUAGGGUUAUUAAUUGGCCUAAUUUCUUUCUUUCUUUUUCUCUCUUUGGUCCUUCCUUCCUUCCUUCCUUCCUUCCUUUCUUUCUUUCCUUCUUUCUUUCUCUCUCUCCCUCUCUGUCUUUCUUUCUUUGCUCUUCAGGGACUCACCCUUGGCCUAUGGAGGUCCCCAGGCUAGGGGUCAAAUUAGAGCUACAUCUGCUGACCUAUGCCACAACCACAGCAACGAGGGAUCCGAGCCACGUCCACGACCUACACCACAGCUCACAGUAAUGCUGGAUCCUUAACGCACUGAGCGAGGCCAGGGAUCAAACCCUCAACCUCAUGCUUCCUAGGUGGAUUCAUUUCUGCUGCCCACGACGGGAACUGCAGUUGGCCUAAUUUCAAUAUCGUUGUGUCUCAGGGACUAGGGAGACUUGAGGAGAGGCAAGGGGGCAUCGGCUGGUUGGUGGAGAAGUCAGAACACAAAACAUCUAGGAAUCACGUUCACUGCCUUAUAUGUAUGCUAUUGACAGUGCUCCCAGUCACAACAGCAACAUCAAAGAUCAGUGACCACCGUAGCAAACAUAAUAAUGAAAAGUUUGAAAUAUUGCAAGAAAUACCAAAAUGUGAUACAGAAACACAAAGUGAGCAAAUGCUGUUGGAAAAACGGUUACCAAUAGACUCGCUCAACUAAGAGUUGCCACAAAUCUUAAAUUUGUUUGUUUUUUUUUUAAAGAAAGAAAAAAUUCAAUAUCUGCAAAAUGCAAUAAAACCAGGUGUGCCUGCCCUGAAGCAGUACAGUCGGCUGUCUCUCCAUGUGCCCUCCGAUGGUUAGCUUUCAUGUGGCAUGUGCACAGCAAAGGUGGGCUAUUGCUCUUGUACGCAGCUGUGCCGGAUCGGAUGCCCAACCGUGCCCCCUAGAGACAGUUCCCACUGGAGGGUGUGAGUGGGUGUGGCCAACGGUUCCGCCACCCCAGGUGUUCAGGUUCCUGGCAGUAGUGCCUGGAAGGUGCUCAAAAAGGUUUAAUGAACAAAGAGCAGUUGUUCCUUGCUUUUGGCUACAGCCUCUGCUCAUGUAUUGAGUCUGCUCGAUGCCAAGACCAACUCAGUUUUGCAAAUGAAGAACAUUAUAUUGGGAAUCUAGUAUCUGUCAGGCUCAGUGCCUACCAGGCACCAUCUCAUUUAGUCCCCAAAAGCCAGUGAGGAAGGUGCUAUGUUGGCCAUUUUAUGGAUGCAGAGGAGCCCCAAGUUUAGAGAGAUCAUGAACUGCUCAAUGUGAAAAGAAGUCCCUGGAAGAGACCACACUCAACCUUUAUCAGCGUGAGAGAGUUGUGAAGGCUUUUCUCGUCUCCCUUCCUCCUGGUAAAAGGCUGUUUUGUUUUGUUUUGUUUUUGUUUUUGUUUUGGCUGCACUCUCAGCAUGCAGAAGUUCCCGGGCAAGGGAUAGAAGCCGCGGCAGUGACCCCGAGCUGCAAUAGUGACAAUGCCCGAUCCUUAACCUGCUGAGCCAACAGGGAACUCUUAAAAACUGUUCUCAUCCAGGAGUUCCCGUCGUGGCUCAGUGGUUAACAAAUCCAACUAGGAACUAUGAGGUCGAGGGUUCGAUCCCUGUCCUUGCUCAGUGGGUUAAGGAUCCGGUGUUGCCAUGAGCUGUGGUGUAGGUUGCAGACGUGGCUCGGAUUCUGUGUUGCUAUCUCUGGCGUAGGCCGGUGGCUACAGCUCCGAUUUGACCCCUAGCCUGGGAACCUCCAUAUGCUGCAGGAGCAGCCUAAGAAAUGGCAAAAAACAAAAACAAAACAACAACAACAACAAAAAAACUGUUCUCAUCCAGACAAGCCUAGUCACUGUGACUCUAUCCAGGGCUCUCAUCACCCAGGCCCCUUCAAAACCCUUGUAGGUGGCUCGGCUCUCUCACCAGCACAAUGUCUCUGGACUCAGCCCUAUGGACAGGGGCACAGGAACCUCCAGUUCCUCCUCUUCUUCCUUUGGUGCCCUGGUGGCCCUGCCUUCCCCCUACCUGGUGGUUCUGAGGAGGUGUUGCCUGAGUGAGUUGGGUGGUAACAGGCAGGACCCACCUUACUGCUUUAUUUCUCGCCUGUACCCCUGCGGGCCUCGGCUCUUUCCCAUGCCUCAGACACCAGCGGCUGGUUCAUCUUUUCAUGGAGCUAAACUUUUUAAUUAUGCCUCAAUUUAGUGACCAUGGAAGGUGGGUUUUUUUAUGAUGCCUCCCUGUCCCAAGCAUUUCAUGUCCUUGCAUUUGCUGUCACAGCAAACACCCCUGCCCCCCAGCUUGGGCACUAUGACUGUCUGGGCCCUGGUGGCAUGCCCACCCCUGUGGAUUGGGUGAAGGACACUUCCCUGGAAGAUAAGUAUAGUU
Molecule: long non-coding RNA, 6017 nt
Filed under: Sus scrofa (pig)
Lineage: Eukaryota; Metazoa; Chordata; Mammalia; Artiodactyla; Suidae
Description: lncRNA (ENSSSCG00060016105.1)
Source: RNAcentral